GGUUAAGCGACUAAGCGUACACGGUGGAUGCCCUGGCAGUCAGAGGCGAUGAAGGACGUGCUAAUCUGCGAAAAGCGUCGGUAAGGUGAUAUGAACCGUUACAGCCGGCGAUGUCCGAAUGGGGAAACCCAGUGCAAUUCGUUGCACUAUCGUUAACUGAAUACAUAGGUUAACGAGGCGAACCGGGGGAACUGAAACAUCUAAGUACCCCGAGGAAAAGAAAUCAACCGAGAUUCCCCCAGUAGCGGCGAGCGAACGGGGAGCAGCCCAGAGUCUGAAUCAGCUUGUGUGUUAGUGGAACGGUCUGGAAAGUCCGACGGUACAGGGUGAUAGUCCCGUACACCAAAAUGCACAGGCUGUGAACUCGAAGAGUAGGGCGGGACACGUGGUAUCCUGUCUGAAUAUGGGGGGACCAUCCUCCAAGGCUAAAUACUCCUGACUGACCGAUAGUGAACCAGUACCGUGAGGGAAAGGCGAAAAGAACCCCGGCGAGGGGAGUGAAAAAGAACCUGAAACCGUGUACGUACAAGCAGUGGGAGCACCUUCGGGUGUGACUGCGUACCUUUUGUAUAAUGGGUCAGCGACUUAUAUUCUGUAGCAAGGUUAACCGUAUAGGGGAGCCGCAGGGAAACCGAGUCUUAACUGGGCGUUAAGUUGCAGGGUAUAGACCCGAAACCCGGUGAUCUAGCCAUGGGCAGGUUGAAGGUUGGGUAACACUAACUGGAGGACCGAACCGACUAAUGUUGAAAAAUUAGCGGAUGACUUGUGGCUGGGGGUGAAAGGCCAAUCAAACCGGGAGAUAGCUGGUUCUCCCCGAAAGCUAUUUAGGUAGCGCCUCGUGAACUCAUCUUCGGGGGUAGAGCACUGUUUCGGCUAGGGGGUCAUCCCGACUUACCAACCCGAUGCAAACUACGAAUACCGAAGAAUGUUAUCACGGGAGACACACGGCGGGUGCUAACGUCCGUCGUGAAGAGGGAAACAACCCAGACCGCCAGCUAAGGUCCCAAAGUCAUGGUUAAGUGGGAAACGAUGUGGGAAGGCACAGACAGCCAGGAUGUUGGCUUAGAAGCAGCCAUCAUUUAAAGAAAGCGUAAUAGCUCACUGGUCGAGUCGGCCUGCGCGGAAGAUGUAACGGGGCUAAACCAUGCACCGAAGCUGCGGCAGCGACACUAUGUGUUGUUGGGUAGGGGAGCGUUCUGUAAGCCUGCGAAGGUGUGCUGUGAGGCAUGCUGGAGGUAUCAGAAGUGCGAAUGCUGACAUAAGUAACGAUAAAGCGGGUGAAAAGCCCGCUCGCCGGAAGACCAAGGGUUCCUGUCCAACGUUAAUCGGGGCAGGGUGAGUCGACCCCUAAGGCGAGGCCGAAAGGCGUAGUCGAUGGGAAACAGGUUAAUAUUCCUGUACUUGGUGUUACUGCGAAGGGGGGACGGAGAAGGCUAUGUUAGCCGGGCGACGGUUGUCCCGGUUUAAGCAUGUAGGCUGGUUGUCCAGGCAAAUCCGGAUAAUCAAGGCUGAGGUGUGAUGACGAGGCACUACGGUGCUGAAGUAACAAAUGCCCUGCUUCCAGGAAAAGCCUCUAAGCAUCAGGUAACAUUAAAUCGUACCCCAAACCGACACAGGUGGUCAGGUAGAGAAUACCAAGGCGCUUGAGAGAACUCGGGUGAAGGAACUAGGCAAAAUGGUGCCGUAACUUCGGGAGAAGGCACGCUGGUGUGUAGGUGAAGCCCCUGCGGGUGGAGCUGAGACCAGUCGAAGAUACCAGCUGGCUGCAACUGUUUAUUAAAAACACAGCACUGUGCAAACACGAAAGUGGACGUAUACGGUGUGACGCCUGCCCGGUGCCGGAAGGUUAAUUGAUGGGGUUAUCCGUAAGGAGAAGCUCUUGAUCGAAGCCCCGGUAAACGGCGGCCGUAACUAUAACGGUCCUAAGGUAGCGAAAUUCCUUGUCGGGUAAGUUCCGACCUGCACGAAUGGCGUAAUGAUGGCCAGGCUGUCUCCACCCGAGACUCAGUGAAAUUGAACUCGCUGUGAAGAUGCAGUGUACCCGCGGCAAGACGGAAAGACCCCGUGAACCUUUACUAUAGCUUGACACUGAACAUUGAGCCUUGAUGUGUAGGAUAGGUGGGAGGCUUUGAAGCGUGGACGCCAGUCUGCGUGGAGCCAACCUUGAAAUACCACCCUUUAAUGUUUGAUGUUCUAACGUUGGCCCCUGACCGGGGUUGCGGACAGUGUCUGGUGGGUAGUUUGACUGGGGCGGUCUCCUCCCAAAGCGUAACGGAGGAGCACGAAGGUUAGCUAAUCCUGGUCGGACAUCAGGAGGUUAGUGCAAUGGCAUAAGCUAGCUUGACUGCGAGCGUGACGGCGCGAGCAGGUGCGAAAGCAGGUCAUAGUGAUCCGGUGGUUCUGAAUGGAAGGGCCAUCGCUCAACGGAUAAAAGGUACUCCGGGGAUAACAGGCUGAUACCGCCCAAGAGUUCAUAUCGACGGCGGUGUUUGGCACCUCGAUGUCGGCUCAUCACAUCCUGGGGCUGAAGUAGGUCCCAAGGGUAUGGCUGUUCGCCAUUUAAAGUGGUACGCGAGCUGGGUUUAGAACGUCGUGAGACAGUUCGGUCCCUAUCUGCCGUGGGCGCUGGAGAAUUGAGGGGGGCUGCUCCUAGUACGAGAGGACCGGAGUGGACGCAUCACUGGUGUUCGGGUUGUCAUGCCAAUGGCACUGCCCGGUAGCUAAAUGCGGAAGAGAUAAGUGCUGAAAGCAUCUAAGCACGAAACUUGCCCCGAGAUGAGUUCUCCCUGAGACUUUAAGUCUCCUGAAGGAACGUUGAAGACGACGACGUUGAUAGGCCGGGUGUGUAAGCGCAGCGAUGCGUUGAGCUAACCGGUACUAAUGAACCGUGAGGCUUAACCUU
RNAcentral lists this ribosomal RNA (2902 nucleotides) under Klebsiella pneumoniae. RNAcentral's name for it is "23S ribosomal RNA". It matches the Rfam family "Bacterial large subunit ribosomal RNA". Lineage: Bacteria; Pseudomonadati; Pseudomonadota; Gammaproteobacteria; Enterobacterales; Enterobacteriaceae. The record is from RNAcentral.